RNAcentral lists this ribosomal RNA (88 nucleotides) under Caerostris darwini. Lineage: Eukaryota; Metazoa; Arthropoda; Arachnida; Araneae; Araneidae. The record is from RNAcentral.
AACGGCCGUACCAUGCUGAAUAUACCGGUUCUCGUUAGAUCACCGAAGUUAAGCAUCAUUGGGCGCGGUCAGUACUUGGGUGGGAACA